Molecule: unclassified non-coding RNA, 800 nt
Filed under: Hevea brasiliensis (rubber tree)
Lineage: Eukaryota; Viridiplantae; Streptophyta; Magnoliopsida; Malpighiales; Euphorbiaceae
Source: RNAcentral
GUUGCUGUGAUAAUAAUCGGAUUUUCUGCAGACAUUGGAUAUAUGUUAGGGGAUACAGAGGAGCAUUGUAGUACAUUCAAAGGCACUCGAACAAGGGCAGCUGUUGUUUUUGUCAUUGGGUUCUGGUUGCUAGAUCUUGCUAACAAUACAGUGCAGGGACCAGCACGUGCCCUUCUGGCUGAUUUAUCAGGUCCUGAUCAACGUAAUUCUGCAAAUGCUGUAUUUUGCUCAUGGAUGGCUGUUGGAAAUAUUUUAGGAUUUUCUGCUGGUGCUAGCGGGAGUUGGAACAGGUGGUUUCCUUCCUUGAUGAGCAGAGCCUGUUGUGAAGCUUGUGGAAAUCUGAAAGCUGCAUUUCUUGUUGCAGUGGUAUUCCUCACUCUGUGCACUCUUGUAACUCUAUAUUUUGCAAAGGAGGUUCCAAUUAUCGCAAGUCAGUCCCACCGUUUAUCAGAUUCAGCACCAUUAUUGGAUGAUCCUCAACAAAAUGGCCUUGAACUUUCAAAAUCUAAGUCUGACUUGUCAAUUCUCAGUAAUUCUAACAAGAACAACAUUAACAAGGGCAUUGAACAGAAUGCGAGUCCAAAGCAUGGCAUUGCCAACUCCAUUGAGGAUCAAAAUGAAAGUUUAGAUGAUGAACCUGGAGCAGUAUUGGUUAAUUUGUUGACUAGUUUAAGGCAUUUACCUCCUGGAAUGCAUUCUGUGCUUGCUGUUAUGGCUCUUACCUGGUUGUCCUGGUUCCCUUUCUUUCUAUUUGAUACGGAUUGGAUGGGUAGAGAAGUUUAUCAUGGAGAUCCAAAAGG